GACGAACGCUGGCGGCGUGCCUAAUACAUGCAAGUAGAACGCUGAAGGAGGAGCUUGCUUCUCUGGAUGAGUUGCGAACGGGUGAGUAACGCGUAGGUAACCUGCCUGGUAGCGGGGGAUAACUAUUGGAAACGAUAGCUAACACCGCAUAAUAGUAGAUGUUGCAUGACAUUUGCUUAAAAGGUGCAAUUGCAUCACUACCAGAUGGACCUGCGUUGUAUUAGCUAGUUGGUGGGGUAACGGCUCACCAAGGCGACGAUACAUAGCCGACCUGAGAGGGUGAUCGGCCACACUGGGACUGAGACACGGCCCAGACUCCUACGGGAGGCAGCAGUAGGGAAUCUUCGGCAAUGGACGGAAGUCUGACCGAGCAACGCCGCGUGAGUGCAGAAGGUUGUCGGAUCGUAAAGCUCUGUUGUAAGAGAAGAACGAGUGUGAGAGUGGAAAGUUCACACUGUGACGGUAUCUUACCAGAAAGGGACGGCUAACUACGUG
This 495-nucleotide ribosomal RNA is filed under the name uncultured bacterium. RNAcentral describes it as "partial 16S ribosomal RNA". It matches the Rfam family "Bacterial small subunit ribosomal RNA", at positions 28 to 507 of the family's 1533-position model. The record is from RNAcentral.